GACGAAACCUGGCGGCGUGCCUAAUACAUGCAAGUGGGACGCAAGGGAACACACUGUGCUUGCACACCGUGUUUUCUUGAGUCGCGAACGGGUGAGUAACGCGUAGGUAACCUGCCUAUUAGCGGGGGAUAACUAUUGGAAACGAUAGCUAAUACCGCAUAAUAUUAAUUAUUGCAUGAUAAUUGAUUGAAAGAUGCAAGCGCAUCACUAGUAGAUGGACCUGCGUUGUAUUAGCUAGUUGGUAAGGUAAGAGCUUACCAAGGCGACGAUACAUAGCCGACCUGAGAGGGUGAUCGGCCACACUGGGACUGAGACACGGCCCAGACUUCUACGGGAGGCAGCAGUAGGGAAUCUUCGGCAAUGGACGAAAGUCUGACCGAGCAACGCCGCGUGAGUGAAGAAGGUUUUCGGAUCGUAAAGCUCUGUUGUAAGUCAAGAACGUGUGUGAG
Molecule: ribosomal RNA, 449 nt
Filed under: Streptococcus mutans
Lineage: Bacteria; Bacillati; Bacillota; Bacilli; Lactobacillales; Streptococcaceae
Description: bacterial SSU rRNA
Rfam family: Bacterial small subunit ribosomal RNA
Source: RNAcentral